ACUGCUUUUCUUUGAUGUCCCCAAUUUGUGGAGCCCAUCAACCCCGCCUCUUUUUGGUUCAAGGUUGAUGGGUUUUUUAUU
This 81-nucleotide small RNA is filed under the name uncultured Buttiauxella sp. RNAcentral's name for it is "RybB RNA". It matches the Rfam family "RybB RNA". Rfam says of the family: This ncRNA was identified in a large scale screen of E. coli. Lineage: Bacteria; Pseudomonadati; Pseudomonadota; Gammaproteobacteria; Enterobacterales; Enterobacteriaceae. The record is from RNAcentral.